This 459-nucleotide ribosomal RNA is filed under the name uncultured bacterium. Its description in RNAcentral is "bacterial SSU rRNA". It matches the Rfam family "Bacterial small subunit ribosomal RNA", at positions 29 to 524 of the family's 1533-position model. The record is from RNAcentral.
AACGAACGCUGGCGGCAUGCCUAACACAUGCAAGUCGAACGGGAUCCGAGCUUCGGUUCGGUGAGAGUGGCGGACGGGUGAGUAACGCGUGGGAACCUGCCCAGUGGUGGGGGAUAACUGCGGGAAACUGCAGCUAAUACCGCAUGAGCCCGAGAGGGGAAAGAUUUAUCGCCAUUGGAGGGCCCGCGUUCGAUUAGGUAGUUGGUGAGGUAACGGCUCACCAAGCCGACGAUCGAUAGCUGGUCUGAGAGGAUGAUCAGCCACACUGGGACUGAGAUACGGCCCAGACUCCUACGGGAGGCAGCAGUGGGGAAUAUUGGACAAUGGGCGAAAGCCUGAUCCAGCAAUGCCGCGUGAGUGAUGAAGGCCUUAGGGUUGUAAAGCUCUUUUACCCGGGAUGAUAAUGACAGUACCGGGAGAAUAAGCCCCGGCUAACUCCGUGCCAGCAGCCGCGGUAAU